RNAcentral lists this ribosomal RNA (1349 nucleotides) under metagenome. Its description in RNAcentral is "bacterial LSU rRNA". It matches the Rfam family "Bacterial large subunit ribosomal RNA", at positions 1564 to 2925 of the family's 2925-position model. The record is from RNAcentral.
UGAGUGCGAGCUGCUACGGCAGCGAAGUUGGUGACGUCAUGCUUCCAAGAAAAGCCCUAUACCCGUUAAGGCAUCAUGGCCUGUACCCGAAACCGACACAGGUGGGGUGGUAGAGAAUACCGAGGGGCGCGAGGUAACUCUCUCUAAGGAACUCGGCAAAAUGGCCCCGUAACUUCGGGAGAAGGGGUGCCACCGCAAGGUGGUCGCAGUGAAGAGGCCCAGGCGACUGUUUACCAAAAACGCAGGUCUCCGCUAAGUCGCAAGACGAUGUAUGGGGGCUGACGCCUGCCCAGUGCCGGAAGGUUAAGGAAGCUGGUCAGCGCAAGCGAAGCUAGCGACUGAAGCCCCGGUGAACGGCGGCCGUAACGAUAACGGUCCUAAGGUAGCGAAAUUCUUUGUCGGGUAAGUUCCGACCCGCACGAAAGGCGUAACGAUCUGGGCGCUGUCUCGGAGAGAGGCUCGGCGAAAUAGAAUUGUCUGUGAAGAUGCGGACUACGUGCGCCCGGACAGAAAGACCCUAUGAAGCUUUACUGUAGCUUGGUAUUGUGCCCGGGCUCGCAAUGCGCAGGAUAGGUGGGAGGCUUUGAUCAUCGGCUUGCGGGUCGAUGUGAGCCAACGGUGAGAUACCACUCUUUGCGAGCUAGGGUUCUAACGGCCACCCGUCAUCCGGGGGCCGGACAGUACCUGGUGGGCAGUUUGACUGGGGCGGUCGCCUCCUAAAAGGUAACGGAGGCGCGCAAAGGUUUGCUCAGGCUGGUUGGAAAUCAGCCGACGAGUGUAAAAGCAGAAGCAAGCUUGACUGUGAGACCAACAAGUCGAACAGGGAGGAAACUCGGCUUUAGUGAUCCGACGGUUCUGAGUGGAAGGGCCGUCGCUCAACGGAUAAAAGUUACUCUAGGAUAACAGGCUGAUCUCCCCCAAGAGUUCACAUCGACGGGGAGGUUUGGCACCUCGAUGUCGGCUCAUCGCAACCUGGGGCUGAAGUCGGUCCCAAGGGUUGGGCUGUUCGCCCAUUAAAGCGGUACGCGAGCUGGGUUCAGAACGUCGUGAGACAGUUCGGUCCAUAUCCGGUGCACGCGCAGGAAUAUUGAGAGGAUUUCUCCCUAGUACGAGAGGACCGGGAGGAACGCACCUCUGGUGUACCAGUUAUCGUGCCAACGGUAAACGCUGGGUAGCCAUGUGCGGAGUGGAUAACCGCUGAAAGCAUCUAAGUGGGAAGCCCACCUCAAGAUGAGUAUUCCCAUGGCGUAAGCCAGUAAGGUCACGGGAAGAACACCCGUUGAUAGGCUCUAUGUGGAAGCGCAGUAAUGCGUGAAGCAGAGGAGUACUAAUAGACCGAGGGCUUGACC